This 889-nucleotide unclassified non-coding RNA is filed under the name Hevea brasiliensis (rubber tree). The record is from RNAcentral. Lineage: Eukaryota; Viridiplantae; Streptophyta; Magnoliopsida; Malpighiales; Euphorbiaceae.
CUGCUUUAACAUGGUACAAGGUAACAUCUGAAGAUGGAUCAUAUGUAUAUGAGAAUCAAUAAAGAACCAUAGACCAUUACUUCUUGGAUUUCAAAUUCCGAUUUAUAAUUUGAUAUUGCAGGCAUACUUGGAUGCUCCUGAAGGAGACGAUCCUGUUGCUGUUACCAUGACUGGUAUGGGAAAAGGCAUGCUUUGGAUCAAUGGCAAUAACAUUGGACGCUACUGGAUGUCUUACCUCUCCCCUCUUGGAAAGCCUUCCCAAUCCGAGUACCACAUCCCAAGAGCAUACCUGAGAUCAAGUAAUAAUCUAAUGGUUAUACUGGAAGAGGAAAGAGCAAACCCUGAAAAAAUCCAGAUCCUUACUGUUAAUAGAGAUACGAUAUGUAGUCAUAUAGCAGAGAAUGAACCAGCCUCUGUGAGGUCCUGGAGAAGGAAAAAUGGCAACAUCUUACCUGUAGUGGAUAAUGUGCAACCAGCAGCUCAGUUAAUGUGUCCUAAUCACAAAAAGAUUAUUGCGGUGGAUUUUGCAAGUUUUGGCAAUCCUGAGGGUGUUUGUGGAGGAUAUGUUCUUGGAAAAUGCAGUUCUUCUAAUUCAAAGAAGGUUGUUGAACAGCAUUGCUUGGGAAAGACCAGAUGUAGUGUUCCCAUUGACAAAAAACUUUUUGGCACGAAGCAAGGUGAUGAGUGUGAAGAUAUCAGACAAGCAUUAGCAGUUCAAGUAAAGUGCGGCAAGCAUUAGAGAUUAAAAGAUAGGUCUGAUGUUUUUGUAGGUUGAAUUGUAGAAAGACCAAGUAGACGUAUAGAACUUGAACUUCACUAGAGUAGAUGUUUAAAAUUUUUUGUUGCUUUGAGCUUUCUUUCCAUUGUUGGAAUUUACUUUUGGUACAGA